AAUUAAUCAAUCAAUCAAUCAAUCAAUCAACUCUAUUGGAUAUAUUUCUUUUCUUUGGCUUUUUUGGGGUAGGGUUUCUCUGGGCAGUCCUAGCUGUCCUGGAACUCUCUUUAUAGACCAGACUGGCUUUGAACUCACAGAGAUCUGCCUGCUUCUGCCUCCCGAAUACUGGGGUUAAAGGUGUGCACCAUCACUGGCCGGCUAGAUGUAUCUGUGUCAUGUUUUAGAUCUUGUGCUUUAAGCUGCUAUUUCAGGAAGUGUCUCAGGAUGUAACGCAUGUAGCAUGCACAGUCCACUCACCGAAGCACACAGUUCUGUGAUUUUUCUGUGGCGUGAACUGGUUGUAUGAUCAUCAUCGUGGUGUGGUAUUAAAAAUUUCCCACCAUUACAGUGAUCUGAGGACUCUCUCCAGCCUGGGCAGCCACGCCACGGCAGUGUCCAAGGUGACGUCUCUCUCCUAGUCGAAGUGAUAGCUUUAACAGUGCAGCGUUUACUGACUUUGCAAGGGUUUGUGCAUCAACUGCAGAUUCUUUCCUUAUAGAAAGGAAGAGACAUCAUUGUGCAAUUUGCUUCUGGCACCUGGAGGUCUCUCCAUGCCUACUGAGUGCCUACUAUGUGCUACCAGGCACAACUGGCUCUGACUUCUUUUUCUUUUCACAGUUGCUUUGUGGUCCAUUGUGUGACAGUCCCAUCACUUAUGUCCCCAGGGCAUUUGGGUCAUUUCCAAUUCUCUUUGAACAAUGCUUCAAUGCAUAUCCUUGUCCAUUGCAAGCAGCUCUGUAGGGAAUGUUGUAUUAUGUGUCUUGAAUAUGCACAAUCUACUUUCUAUCUAGAGAGGUGAAAAUGGCUUAUGCUUCCAGAAAUGUUCCUGCAAGCAGUGUGGGCUUUAAUCACCUCCCUGAGUUGUGCCCAGGGCAGCCCACUGUAGGCUACACAGGCUUGAAGGUGGGCUUCCUAGACCAUGGAGCCCAGAGAAUUCAAGGCCUCUACAAACACCUGAUAAAAUCCCAUUUCUAGGGGUACUCACCUUUCUUGCCUUGCCCCCCUGUAAAUCAGAUCCUAGCUAUUUACUGGGCAUGGCCUGUGUUUGCUUGCCCUCUGCCUAUAUGCUGUUCCCUCCCCUGGAAAUGUUCUCAGUCUCCCCUGCGACAAGACCCAGGCCAUCUGAAGUCCCCAUAACCUUCAGUCUCAGCUGUUCUCUGUGUUCUCUUAGCUGUGAACUGUUUCCCCUUAAGUGGGAAGAAACUGGGGAGGGAGACAGCAAAGUUAGAUAGAAGUCAUGCUAUGUAGGCUCCCAAGGGAGCUGGGACAGCGAUGCAUUGCCUCCUGCAGACCAGGCUAUCUGAGCAGGCCUGAUCUAACCCUCUGCAACCUCUAGGAGACAUAGUAGGUGGUACUUAGUAGUUUAACUUAGGUCCACAUUUCCCAGUGAUGAGGAGCGAGGGAAGGAGAGGGCCUGAAAUGGGGCGGGGAGGUGGGGGGAAAAGGUUGCAGAAGGAAAUGGAGGUGUUAUCCUUUAAAGGAGAUGGAUACAAGUAUUGCCCUGGGCAGGGGCAACCAGUCAACAGGCAAGAACUUUGUACAACAAACUAAGAUUUGCUCAAAAUAACAAUAACAAAAC
Molecule: long non-coding RNA, 1621 nt
Filed under: Mus musculus (house mouse)
Lineage: Eukaryota; Metazoa; Chordata; Mammalia; Rodentia; Muridae
Description: long non-coding RNA chr2:35280389-35282010
Source: RNAcentral